GGCCCUAUCGUCUAACGGUUAGGACGCGACCUUUUCAAGGUUGAAAUCGGGGUUCGAUUCCCCGUAGGGUCACCA
Molecule: transfer RNA, 75 nt
Rfam family: tRNA
About the family: Transfer RNA (tRNA) molecules are approximately 80 nucleotides in length.